This 253-nucleotide ribosomal RNA is filed under the name uncultured bacterium. Its description in RNAcentral is "partial 16S ribosomal RNA". It matches the Rfam family "Bacterial small subunit ribosomal RNA", at positions 524 to 776 of the family's 1533-position model. The record is from RNAcentral.
UACGGAGGGUGCAAGCGUUAUCCGGAUUUACUGGGUUUAAAGGGUGCGUAGGUGGGCAGGUAAGUCAGUGGUGAAAUCUUCAAGCUUAACUUGGAAACUGCCAUUGACACUAUUUGUCUUGAAUUAUCUGGAGGUAAGCGGAAUAUGUCAUGUAGCGGUGAAAUGCUUAGAUAUGACAUAGAACACCCAUUGCGAAGGCAGCUUACUACGGAUAUAUUGACACUGAGGCACGAAAGCGUGGGGAUCAAACAGG